UUUAAUCGAAGAACAUUCUAGGGCUUGUAACUUGUGCGGACGAUAUCUCCUUCAAUUCUCAACGUUUUCAGAAUUCCACAUAUUCCAGUUCGUGUGUUAAUUCUCGUGGAACGUUUCUUCGCAACCUGAGUUCGUAUCUGUCCAACUACUGGUAAUCAGUAUUAUACUCCUAUUGUUCCAGAUUCUUCCAAACCUGUAGUGAUUAUUGAAGGACUUGGGAGCUUGCCGUCUGAUGCUGCUGGAGUGGUUGUGGUCGUGAUUGAUUAACUGUGAGCAUAU
RNAcentral lists this long non-coding RNA (279 nucleotides) under Helianthus annuus (common sunflower). RNAcentral's name for it is "hypothetical non coding rna". The record is from RNAcentral. Lineage: Eukaryota; Viridiplantae; Streptophyta; Magnoliopsida; Asterales; Asteraceae.